AUUAAAGAAACUUUGUAGAAGUAGAACAUUGAAGAUGUUUAUAUGGUUUAUUCCCUUUAAUA
RNAcentral lists this transfer RNA (62 nucleotides) under Chaetoderma nitidulum. Its description in RNAcentral is "tRNA-Phe". Lineage: Eukaryota; Metazoa; Mollusca; Caudofoveata; Chaetodermatida; Chaetodermatidae. The record is from RNAcentral.